ACUUUUUUGGGCUCCCGCUUCGUGCCAGGCACUACAAAUGGGGAGUAAGGCUGAGAAGAUCUCAGUUCUUGCGGAGAUGAGAUUCUGGUGGGGCAGAAAGACCCCAGAACCAAGCACUGAGCGGUUCCGGAAUGAAGACAGAUGAAGGAGAGAACGCAUGACGACAGUAUUUAUUCACUGGAAAGCAAAGUCCAACGUCCACCAUAAAACCCUGCAGCUGAAAAACGGCAAGCUGAGCAGCUCUCAAAUAAAGACAGCCUCCGCCGUCUUGCACAGCGCAGCCCCUCUCGCGCCCAAGUCCUGUACCUGCGUGAAAGCACUAAAUCACAGACCCUGCAACCUGUUGUAUGCCCCGGUGACAGUCAGCAGCUGGGCUCGGGCAAGCUCCCUCAGCCGGCGCUGGCUCAGAGAGCAGACUUCCCUCAGCAGCUCCAAGGAGCGCUGCAGCUCCCAGGCUAAGGGAGUAAGCCAACGAUUUGAGAUCCUAAUCAAGGCUUCCUUUUACCUUAAAGAAACUUCCUCGCUUGUCCAGACUGCGGGCGCCCAUGGUCCAAGCUGACAUUUCCCCCAGCGAGGCUCCACUGCACGCCGGGGACUCCUGAAGGUAGAGACAUUUUUAAUGGUUAGUCCAGCCUGUAGGAAAUUCCUUUCUAAGCCACAGAACACUCACAACAACAGUCCUGCCAAGAUCUUUUUCCGUCAACAACACAGUGCCAUUUAUUUCCCACCAAGCCCUUACAUCUCCCUUCAGCCCCCACCAGCGCAGUUCCUAGACUGCCCCACCUCGCCAACCCACCUCCCAACUCUGCCUCGGACAGAGAAGGUCCUUGGGACUUCAGGAAGCAUAAUGAUUAUUUUAUGUGUUUGACCUCACUCUGAAAUGUGCAUGGAACCAAUAUUAGAUGUCCCCAUCAUCUGCUCUGAAAGCUUAUAGAUUGAAUGUGGCUAAUCACAGAAAGACAUCCGAAGGAGGAGGUUCUGUACGUCCCAGGAAAUCAUGCUGGAAGGGGCUGAGGUCAUCCUUAGCUCUGCUGGCCUCUCCCCCACGCAAGGUCAACAGAAGGGCACUGGGAAGAAAUCGCUCUAUUUUUUUUCUUUAGAAAUCAGAAAUAUUUGGAUAAAAUCCUGUCACUGUUUACAGGGAUGAGUUCACAGAAGAGGACAACAUGUAAACAGCUUCAUGAUUAUCUAAAAAAGAGGAGUUGAACAUAGAGGAAAACUGAGAGGCAGAAUAACAACACAGUUCUGAAUUCUAACUGGCUUUUUGAGCUUGGAAUUUCCCCUGCUUAGGGCAUCAGAUCCCAAUAAUUCUUCCCUUCGGGACACAAAGUCUUCAACAUUCAGUUCUAAGUUAAACACAGACACACCUCUGCCAGCUGACCCGUCCCAGGCCUUCAUGCAUUGAGGGGAGCCUGAGGGCGCACCCCAAACCCUUCCUUACCCAGUGACUGUCCCAGGGGCAAGUAUAAAACCACCCUGUCUUUCCUCAUUCACCCCUUCUCACCAUAACAUGCACAGGAUGUAGCUCAUGCCAACCGUGACCGACACAGAGGAAGGCCAGUGAAGGAAAGAGUGAGACUGUCUCUUGCACCACCAAGGAAUAUUCAAAGUGGUUCAGCUGCAGGGGUGGGGAGGCACCAAAGCUAAGGCAGCUGCUGCUGCAGGUUCACUGAGGCUGUUUCAUUAUUACUGAGCGGCGGAGAGCCAGCGACACAAACAGGACAUUGAGGGCGACGUUUAGGGAUGUUUCAACAAGUGGAAAAGCAUGAAUCCAUAGCUGAGAAGUGCAUCCAAGUGAGUGAGCAAGGAUCUUUGCAGAGAGAUUUUUUUUGGACCCACGAUUUGCUCCCCCGCUUGCACUCACAGUGAGUGUGAUGACCUGUGCACGGAAUCCAAUCUAGAAAAAAAUAAUGAUACAGUGCAUCCCUCCCCUCCUUCCAGAACCAUCGUCUCUUUGUGUCAUUGCUCCAUGGUGUGGCCACUUUAAAGGUUUGAUGGUGUCUUCCCUGUGUUUCUUUCCACUUGUGAUCCUGCUGGGAUGAAGGCCAGUGUUCCAGAAACCUCCUGAGAAGGGAGUGUGUGAUUCUGCUGACACCAGAAGUUCAGGUUCUGGGGUUCAUCACUCAUUAGCAAAGUCCACAGGUUGGAACAACUCCAGAAAGAAAUCACAGUGCUGUGCUCAGAACUAGGAGUGGAAUGGGAGCCACACUGUCACCUUGGGGAGCAAACCAUGGCCCGUUUAGACCCAGAAGCACACAAUAAAAAAGCAUACCCUGCUUUAAACCAUGCCUAAUGUCUGGAAUUCUUUUUAUUUCAGAUGUUUUUUUCGGCAGCGGAUUUGAUGUCGCCUGGCAGUUCAGGAAUUGCUAAACGAGAGCCAAGACUUCAUUCCUCAUCCAGACCUAAGUUUCUUUGUUCUGUUCUGAAGUUUUCCAUAUACAAACUCUUUCUGAUGAGCCAGAGCAGGCAGGGAAUUUUGCCUAUAGCAUUGGAGCAGUUUGGGUUCCAGAAGUGUACUAAUUAAUUACUUUAAUUAGCUGCCUGAAAACUGCAUGUGCACACUUUAACUCCAGCAGUCCUCAAAUCACCAUCCAAUCUGGACUCUGCUCAGGGCAGGACAAUCCAUCACAUUUUAAAAGAUGCUAGCGGCAUCUCUCCUUCAUGAGCUGCUCCAAGAGAGAGAGAUGGGAGCAGGUGACAGGAACACGCCGCCAGGUGCCGCAGCAGCCGCUGAAUGAGGCGAGGCAGCUCGGACUUCAGUCUCAGUAAACAAGACCUCGUUAUUGUAAUUAUUUUACAGCCAAAUUGACUGAAAUAGGAAAAAGUGACUCACCCUAGGGGACCUGUCAGGUCAAGUCCGAAUCUGAGAAAUGCAUCUCACUUUUUUGCCUGGUUCCUUAACCAGCUCCCGGGGAGACGGGUCAUCUCUCCUUCCAACGCCUUUUGGUUUUUGUAAGAGCGGUAGAAGGAAGUGGAGGUGGCUCUGUGUCUGGGUGCAGGGAAGGUCUCUGAAUAUUUCCAUAAUUAUGUUUGUAUUACCCAGUAUUUCACACGUUGGACAGAAAAAUGUUAUUCCAAGGUCAGACUUGACAAUUUGAACUGUGUGAAUUAAAAGAAAUUUUUAAAGUGUCUUGGAUCACUGUUCAACACGGGUUUCCCCUCACUCAACAAUCAUUUUUUUUUUUUUUAAUUUAAGUUUUAAGUUCAUGAAAACUUUUCAUUGAAAAGAGAAGCUAAUUUGUGGGAAAGAAAGAAGUCCUAUGCAAAGAACUGCAUUCCCAGCCCCCUUACUUAACAACAGUGUUUUAAUAUUCGUUUUAAUUAUUGUUUUUGAGGCAGGGUCUCAUUCUGUU
This is a long non-coding RNA of Cebus imitator (Panamanian white-faced capuchin), 3353 nucleotides long. RefSeq lists it as uncharacterized. The transcript is spliced from 3 exons. The record is from RefSeq and is a predicted model, not a curated record. Lineage: Eukaryota; Metazoa; Chordata; Mammalia; Primates; Cebidae.